This 846-nucleotide long non-coding RNA is filed under the name Coffea arabica (coffee). Its description in RNAcentral is "long non-coding RNA (CARA_LNC004902)". Lineage: Eukaryota; Viridiplantae; Streptophyta; Magnoliopsida; Gentianales; Rubiaceae. The record is from RNAcentral.
AUCUUUCACCUUUCAUUGAUUUGUGUUCUAUAUUCUACUUCCGCUAGUAGUUGAAAUUUGGCAAUUAAGAUGGCACAAUACGGGGCUGAAUAUGGCAACCAAAAGAGCCAGUACGAUGAGUACGGAAACCCAGUUCGUCAGACAGACGAAUAUGGUAACCCAGCCCGCCAUGGAGGUACCAUGGGUGAUUAUGGAACCACUGGCACUACUGGAGCCUAUGGUGGCACAGCUGGAGCACAUGGGACUUAUGCAACUGGAACCACCGGCACUACCGGUACCGGUGCGUAUGCCACCCAGCCUGGCACUGAUGUGGGGAAGGAGCACCAUGGCCUUGGUGGCAUGCUUCAUCGCUCUGGUAGCGGUAGCUCUAGCUCGGUAUGCCCUCCUAAUUAAUCUCGUCUUGCUUAAAUUGUACUGAGUUGUAGUAGCAUUUAACAAAUCUUGACCAGCUUGUGAUGACUGGUAAUUAAAAAGUUCUUAUCUGUUUUCUUUUUGUUUUUUCGGUUGGGAUGCAGUCCGAGGAUGAUGGGCAAGGCGGGAGGAGGAAGAAGGGGAUGAAGGAGAAGAUAAAGGAGAAACUGCCUGGCGGUCACAAGGAGGCUCGACCUGGACAAGAAUAUUCGAGUGCUACUACAGCUCCUGGAUACGGCGGGGAAGGAGAGCAGCACGAGAAGAAAGGAAUUAUGGAUAAAAUCAAGGAGAAAUUACCAGGGGGUCACAACAACUGAAGAUCUAAUUCUAAUAAUAUGGGAUCCAAUUAUGAUAUUGUGUACCCCUAUUUUCAAUCUCAAUCUCAAUCUCGUUCGUGUCAUGUUUGUGUUUUCUGAGAUUUGAGUGUGUGGACGU